GGGGCAGAGGGAGAGAGAGAAUCUUAAGCAGGUUCCAACCUAGGGCUCAUCUCCGGACCCUGAGAUCAGGAAAACAGGUCCUGGUUAGAGUCUGCUAAAGAGAGGCACUCCCUCGAGAUUCGGAACGUGGAUGAGAAGGAGCACCAUUGUCUGGAAGCCUUUGCCAACACACAGCGGUUGUGCUUCGAGGCUGACGACGUGAGAACUGCCUGGCUCAGCGCCCCAGUUCACUCCCCAGACCCUCGCAUUCCCAGCCCUCCCGUACUUGGGCAAGCCUCUCAUUUCCUAGAUGGACUUCAGUUUUCCCAAUCAAAUACUCUGUAUAAGCGGUGGGAGCUGAAAUAUUUCUGCAAACAAAUGAAGCAAAAUGAAGUAGGAUCCAGAGGUGGAAAAGAGCAUGGUCCAGCAGUUCUGGGGCACACAGGAUGAGAUUCAGACUGGCGUCUUGUGCAGGUGUUUCCAUCGCAAGAGAGCGAGGGCACCAGCAGGGGCAGGGGCAGAG
Long non-coding RNA from Neomonachus schauinslandi (Hawaiian monk seal), 502 nucleotides. RefSeq lists it as uncharacterized. NCBI's taxonomy places the organism in Eukaryota, Metazoa, Chordata, Mammalia, Carnivora, Phocidae. The record is from RefSeq and is a predicted model, not a curated record. The transcript has 3 exons.